This 498-nucleotide ribosomal RNA is filed under the name Rhizobium sp. LR15. Its description in RNAcentral is "bacterial SSU rRNA". It matches the Rfam family "Bacterial small subunit ribosomal RNA", at positions 97 to 630 of the family's 1533-position model. The record is from RNAcentral. Lineage: Bacteria; Pseudomonadati; Pseudomonadota; Alphaproteobacteria; Hyphomicrobiales; Rhizobiaceae.
GGCAGACGGGUGAGUAACGCGUGGUUACGUACCCUUUCCUGCGGAAUAGCUCCGGGAAACUGGAAUUAAUACCGCAUACGCCCUACGGGGGAAAGAUUUAUCGGGAAAGGAUCGGCCCGCGUUGGAUUAGCUAGUUGGUGGGGUAAAGGCCUACCAAGGCGACGAUCCAUAGCUGGUCUGAGAGGAUGAUCAGCCACAUUGGGACUGAGACACGGCCCAAACUCCUACGGGAGGCAGCAGUGGGGAAUAUUGGACAAUGGGCGCAAGCCUGAUCCAGCCAUGCCGCGUGAGUGAUGAAGGCCUUAGGGUUGUAAAGCUCUUUCACCGGAGAAGAUAAUGACGGUAUCCGGAGAAGAAGCCCCGGCUAACUUCGUGCCAGCAGCCGCGGUAAUACGAAGGGGGCUAGCGUUGUUCGGAAUUACUGGGCGUAAAGCGCACGUAGGCGGACAUUUAAGUCAGGGUUGAAUCCCUAGAGCUCAACUCUGGAACUGCCUUUGA